This 465-nucleotide ribosomal RNA is filed under the name uncultured Sphingobacteriales bacterium. RNAcentral describes it as "bacterial SSU rRNA". It matches the Rfam family "Bacterial small subunit ribosomal RNA", at positions 920 to 1382 of the family's 1533-position model. The record is from RNAcentral. Lineage: Bacteria; Pseudomonadati; Bacteroidota; Sphingobacteriia; Sphingobacteriales.
CCCGCACAAGCGGAGGAACAUGUGGUUUAAUUCGAUGAUACGCGAGGAACCUUACCUGGGCUUAAAUGUAGAGUGCAUUUUUUAGAGAUAGAAAUUCCCCUUCGGGGCUUUUCUGCAAGGUGCUGCAUGGUUGUCGUCAGCUCGUGCCGUGAGGUGUCGGGUUAAGUCCCAUAACGAGCGCAACCCUUAUCGUUAGUUGCCAUCUGGUAAUGCAGGGGACUCUAGCGAAACUGCCACCGUAAGGUGAGAGGAAGGUGGGGAUGACGUCAAGUCCUCAUGGCCUUUAUGUCUAGGGCUACACACGUACUACAAUGGCCGGUACAAAGGGCAGCCACUCAGCGAUGAGGCGCUAAUCCCAUAAAGCCGGUCUCAGUCCGGAUCGCAGUCUGCAACUCGACUGCGUGAAGUUGGAAUCGCUAGUAAUCGUAGAUCAGCAUGCUACGGUCGAAUACGUUCCCGGGCCUU